AACAAUCAGUGUUCAGAUAACUAGCGCAAACGUGCCGAGAUAUCUUGUUUAUUAUAAAAAUAAACGCUUGUGUUGUGCCAUGGCUUAUAUGGCGAUGACGUUUGAGAUUGUAAAUUUACGGGCCACAGAUGUGUCUAUGGUAAGGCCGACCUGACGAGAUAGCUGCCUACUGAGGUUUGAUUGGAUAUGGACAUUGUUUAUUUCAGAAGGAAAAUGUUUGGAGUGGAAUUGUUUGGAAGACAAUCUUGGGACAAUUUUGCUCUUUGGGUCUUUGUGCCAACCAUGCCAGCUAUCGUAGGGUGCUCUGGGAACUUCUUAGAUCUGUUUACUGUAUGUACACUUACUGAAAUAAGCAUUUUGUUUACAUAAAAUCCCUUGUCAUUUCACCACUAGGUUUGAAACCCAGACAGCACGAAGCAUCUUGCCGACGUCAAAAUCAGAUCAACAGACAGGGACAUCAGCCUUCUCUUGGGAAUAGGCCAGAUAUGCCAUAACAAGAAAUGGUGUUUUGCCCCUGCGGUUGUAAAGAGGAUGCUGUGGAGGUGGCAGCAUGAACGUGUCACACAGACAUUGGCUAAACAACUCGGCUUCUACACUUGACAACAAAUGUGCUCUACGAUGACAUUUCCAGCAUGUCCAACUCAUCAGCAUCAGGGGAGAUUCGGUGAAGGUGGUGCACCAUCCAGGACCAGUCAUGGGUCACCAACACCUCUGCAAAAUCUACACUUCUUGUGAACCCUGUAGAAGACACUACAACCACAAAACUGCUAAUAAACCAUCACAUACUGCAUCACA
Molecule: long non-coding RNA, 795 nt
Organism: Engraulis encrasicolus (European anchovy)
Lineage: Eukaryota; Metazoa; Chordata; Actinopteri; Clupeiformes; Engraulidae
Exons: 4
Source: RefSeq, a predicted model, not a curated record